Molecule: long non-coding RNA, 300 nt
Filed under: Ananas comosus (pineapple)
Lineage: Eukaryota; Viridiplantae; Streptophyta; Magnoliopsida; Poales; Bromeliaceae
Description: long non-coding RNA (ACOM_LNC043631)
Source: RNAcentral
ACCGAUAAUUAAUAUGAAUUUAACUUAAUUAUCAUUGUGAAGAUAAACACUGUUCAAACAUCUUUUUUUUUAAAAAAAAAAAAUCCUCUCUCCAAAAUCAUGGAUCUCAAUCAUCUCUUUUCUCGAAAAUUUUGAAUUCCUAAACACCUUUCCUCAAAAUAAUUUUUAAAUAAACAAAAAUUCAAUGCACCAAAAAUCAUUCAAACAUGUAAUGCAAUGAAUAAAAUUAUGCAACAAACACCAAUCAAAGCAUUACACUAAAGAUAAAAAAUGACUAAGAUGAGGAGCAAGAAAAGAUAU